CUUAGGUAUUCUAACUCUGCACAUUUAUUACUAGAAGGCUUCUGUGCAUUAUAUAUACAUAGUGUUAAUAUUAAGAUUUAGAAUUAUUAUGGCGAAUGCCGGAAACUCUUUCAUUCAUAUGUAAAUAUAUUUAUGUAUAUGUAUAUAUCUACAUCCAUAUGUAUAUACAGUACAAUGAAAUCUCCUCCACAAAAAUAUUAUGACACACACUCAAUAUACAACACCUGACAUCUGUGUCUCAACCCACACUACAUGUGUUCUCCUGUGAACCUCAGACUCCCACACCUGUAUUCAUGAUCCCGGAUCAUACAUCAUCAGUGGUCAUAAUUGAUCCAACACCACCUUUGCCUUCCUCUUUCUCUGUGUUAUUAUUACCUAACUAUCUGUGUCUCUUGUUCUAGUUACAUAACUAUUGGUCACAAAAUCCUGAGAUACUGUGGUAAUCCAACAGUUUGUGCCACCCUGAUUCUGUCUCUUCUCUUAAUUUCGGGGACGUCAGCACUGUGUCAUGGCCAUUUUAAAUUCAGCUCACAGUCACAGUUUUCCUAACAGGAACCUAUGCAUGCCUUUACCAAGACAGUAGUGUCUUAUCAAGGCCACCCAAAAGGACAAGAACUUUAACUCCACUUACAUUAAUUCUCUGGAUGCUCACACAUGGGAAUAGGGCAACCAAGGAACACCCAGCCAGGCAACAGUGUGUCACUCAGCAUCCAUGCGGGGAGGACAGAGCAGGGAAGAUAAUAAAAAGAUUGAUGUUUUCAAAUCAUUUCUAUAAUUUCCCUUUCACUACCCAUUAUUUAGGAUUCAAAUUGUUGAUGGUUUCUUAAAGAAGCAAGGAACGAGGUGACCCUAUCUGGGGCUUAGUCCAUUAAUUAUAUAUCAUAUGUGAACUUGAAUGACAUUUAUAAACAUCUUAUGCCACUUAUUUCUUAACUGACUACCAUAUUUUAUGCAUGUUGCAAUGCAUUUGUGGUCCAAUAUUUAAGUUCUAGGUGAUCAAUGUCUAAAUAAAUGUGUUUGCAUUUAUAUGUAUAUUUAUGUCGUGUUACAUUAAUGCACUAAGGACAUCCAUGAAAGUGCCUGAUUCUAAUGUCCAGCAUGUGCUCACAUGUCUAACUUUUGUCACCUGGCUAAGAGGGAGGUGUGAGGUGUGUGAUGCUGUGAACCUCAGACAGGAAGUGAUGUAGUCAUCGUCAAUGCAUGACUUAGAUCGCCGCCGAGCCUGGUCAUCAUUGGUCCAUACUACCUGUCUCUACUCUAGCAAUAUGUGCAUGUUUGCUGUUUAACAAACAACUAUAAUUUGUUUGUUUUUCAGGAUAAGUGAAUCCUUUACUCAGAGACAAUCUAUGCUCUAUAAUAAUAUAGAGCAUCAUCCCAUUGAGGAAAAGAAGACAACAAUUUUGAAUAUUACUCACACAGCUCUGGGUCUUCUGUAAACACCAAGAUUAAGUGUAGACUUUGAGCGUGGCCCAGUGUUUAAAGCAGACUGAAGCCAUUGCUUCUGAGGGAUGACCA
RNAcentral lists this long non-coding RNA (1515 nucleotides) under Cricetulus griseus (Chinese hamster). Its description in RNAcentral is "lncRNA (ENSCGRG00015031470.1)". Lineage: Eukaryota; Metazoa; Chordata; Mammalia; Rodentia; Cricetidae. The record is from RNAcentral.